Molecule: ribosomal RNA, 253 nt
Filed under: uncultured bacterium
Lineage: Bacteria
Description: partial 16S ribosomal RNA
Rfam family: Bacterial small subunit ribosomal RNA
Source: RNAcentral
UACGGAGGGUGCAAGCGUUGUUCGGAAUCACUGGGCGUAAAGAGCACGUAGGCGGAUUCGUGUGUCGGAUGUGAAAUCCCCGGGCUUAACCUGGGAAUUGCAUUCGAAACUGCGAACCUUGAAUGUCUGAGAGGAUGACGGAAUUCCUGGUGUAGAAGUGAAAUUCGUAGAUAUCAGGAGGAACACCGGAGGCGAAGGCGGUUGUCUGGCGGUGCAUUGACGCUGAGGUGCGAAAGCGUGGGGAGCAAACAGG